This 443-nucleotide unclassified non-coding RNA is filed under the name Hevea brasiliensis (rubber tree). The record is from RNAcentral. Lineage: Eukaryota; Viridiplantae; Streptophyta; Magnoliopsida; Malpighiales; Euphorbiaceae.
GAAAGGUGAAUCCAGCUUCUCUCAAAAAGUUUGGGGAGACAGCUGAGAAGUGCCUUGCUGAGCAUGGAGUUGAUAGGCCAUCGAUGGGGGAUGUCUUAUGGAAUCUUGAAUAUGCUCUGCAGCUUGAGGAAACCUCAUCUGCACUGAUGGAACCUGAAGAUAAUAGCACAAACCAUAUUCCAGGCAUUCCGUUGACACCACUCGAACCAUUUGAUAACAGUAUAAGCAUAAUUGACGGGGGGCACUCUGGAACAGAUGAUGAUGCUGAAGAUGCUGCAACAAGCGCUGUAUUUUCCCAGCUAGUAAAUCCUCGUGGAAGGUGAAAAGUAAAAACUCCCACCAUUUGUGGUCAAUAGAAAUUCUAGUGACCGUUUGGCCAUCCGGUCCUGGUGUAGAGAGUUCUCAGAAAAUGCCAAGGGAAUAAACUAAGGUCAUGUCGUAUU